This 380-nucleotide ribosomal RNA is filed under the name uncultured bacterium. RNAcentral's name for it is "bacterial SSU rRNA". It matches the Rfam family "Bacterial small subunit ribosomal RNA", at positions 28 to 407 of the family's 1533-position model. The record is from RNAcentral.
GACGAACGCUGGCGGCGUGCUUAACACAUGCAAGUCGAGCGGUAAGGCCCUUUCGGGGGUACACGAGCGGCGAACGGGUGAGUAACACGUGGGUGACCUGCCCUCAGCUCUGGGGAUAAGCCUGGGAAACCGGGUCUAAUACUGGAUAUGACUCCAUGACGCAUGUUGUGGGGUGGAAAGCCUUGUGCGGCUGAGGAUGGGCCCGCGGCCUAUCAGCUUGUUGGUGGGGUGAUGGCCUACCAAGGCGACGACGGGUAGCCGGCCUGAGAGGGCGACCGGCCACACUGGGACUGAGACACGGCCCAGACUCCUACGGGAGGCAGCAGUGGGGAAUCUUGCGCAAUGGGCGAAAGACCUGACGCAGCGACGCCGCGUGAGGG